Molecule: ribosomal RNA, 443 nt
Filed under: uncultured bacterium
Lineage: Bacteria
Description: partial 16S ribosomal RNA
Rfam family: Bacterial small subunit ribosomal RNA
Source: RNAcentral
CCUACGGGGGGCAGCAGUGGGGAAUAUUGGGCAAUGGGCGCAAGUCUGACCCAGCAACGUCGCGUGAAGGAAGAAGGCUUUCGGGUUGUAAACUUCUUUUUUCAGGGACGUAGAAAGUGACGGUACCUGAGGAAUAAGUCACGGCUAACUACGGGCCAGCAGCCGCGGUAAUACGUAGGUGGCAAGCGUUAUCCGGAUUUAUUGGGUGUAAAGGGCGUGUAGGCGGGAGUGCAAGUCAGAUGUGAAAACUCAGGGCUCAACCCUGAGCCUGCAUUUGAAACUGUGGUUCUUGAGUGCUGGAGAGGAAGUCGGAAUUCCGUGUGUAGCGGUGAAAUGCGUAGAUAUACGGAGGAACACCAGUGGCGAAGGCGGAUUGCUGGAGAGUAACUGACGCUGAGGCGCGAAAGCGUGGGGAGCAAACAGGAUUAGAUACCCUUGUAGUC